UACGAAGGGGGCUAGCGUUGCUCGGAAUCACUGGGCGUAAAGCGCACGUAGGCGGACUCUUAAGUCAGGGGUGAAAUCCUGGAGCUCAACUCCAGAACUGCCUUUGAUACUGGGAGUCUUGAGUCCGGAAGAGGUGAGUGGAACUGCGAGUGUAGAGGUGAAAUUCGUAGAUAUUCGCAAGAACACCAGUGGCGAAGGCGGCUCACUGGCCCGAUACUGACGCUGAGGCACGAAAGCGUGGGGAGCAAACAGG
Molecule: ribosomal RNA, 253 nt
Filed under: uncultured bacterium
Lineage: Bacteria
Description: partial 16S ribosomal RNA
Rfam family: Bacterial small subunit ribosomal RNA
Source: RNAcentral